This 497-nucleotide ribosomal RNA is filed under the name uncultured bacterium. RNAcentral's name for it is "partial 16S ribosomal RNA". It matches the Rfam family "Bacterial small subunit ribosomal RNA", at positions 28 to 507 of the family's 1533-position model. The record is from RNAcentral.
GAUGAACGCUGGCGGCGUGCCUAAUACAUGCAAGUCGAGCGAACAGACGAGGAGCUUGCUCCUCUGACGUUAGCGGCGGACGGGUGAGUAACACGUGGAUAACCUACCUAUAAGACUGGGAUAACUUCGGGAAACCGGAGCUAAUACCGGAUAAUAUAUUGAACCGCAUGGUUCAAUAGUGAAAGACGGUUUUGCUGUCACUUAUAGAUGGAUCCGCGCCGCAUUAGCUAGUUGUUAAGGUAACGGCUUACCAAGGCAACGAUGCGUAGCCGACCUGAGAGGGUGAUCGGCCACACUGGAGCUGAGACACGGUCCAGACUCCUACGGGAGGCAGCAGUAGGGAAUCUUCCGCAAUGGGCGAAAGCCUGACGGAGCAACGCCGCGUGAGUGAUGAAGGUCUUCGGAUCGUAAAACUCUGUUAUUAGGGAAGAACAAAUGUGUAAGUAACUAUGCACGUCUUGACGGUACCUAAUCAGAAAGCCACGGCUAACUACGUG